UUGUCCUACGAGAGGCAGCAGUGGGGGAUAUUGCACAAUGGGCGAAAGCCUGAUGGAGCAACGCCGCGUGGGUGAAGAAGGUCUUCGGAUCGUAAAACCCUGUUGUUAGAGAAGAAAGUGCGUGAGAGUAACUGUUCACGUUUCGACGGUAUCUAACCAGAAAGCCACGGCUAACUACGUGCCAGCAGCCGCGGUAAUACGUAGGUGGCAAGCGUUAUCCGGAUUUAUUGGGCGUAAAGGGAACGCAGGCGGUCUUUUAAGUCUGAUGUGAAAGCCUUCGGCUUAACCGGAGUAGUGCAUUGGAA
This 305-nucleotide ribosomal RNA is filed under the name uncultured bacterium. RNAcentral's name for it is "bacterial SSU rRNA". It matches the Rfam family "Bacterial small subunit ribosomal RNA", at positions 334 to 631 of the family's 1533-position model. The record is from RNAcentral.